RNAcentral lists this ribosomal RNA (844 nucleotides) under uncultured bacterium. RNAcentral's name for it is "bacterial SSU rRNA". It matches the Rfam family "Bacterial small subunit ribosomal RNA", at positions 23 to 898 of the family's 1533-position model. The record is from RNAcentral.
CUCAGAAUCAACGCUGGCGGCGUGCCUAACACAUGCAAGUCGAACGAGAAAGGGUAGCAAUACCUGAGUAAAGUGGCGCACGGGUGAGUAACACGUGACUAACCUACCCUGGAGUGGGGGAUAACUGAGGGAAACCUUAGCUAAUACCGCAUAACACCUACGGGUCAAAGGAGCAAUUCGCUUCAGGAGGGGGUCGCGGCCGAUUAGUUAGUUGGCGGGGUAAUGGCCCACCAAGACAGUGAUCGGUAUCCGGCCUGAGAGGGCGCACGGACACACUGGAACUGAAACACGGUCCAGACUCCUACGGGAGGCAGCAGUGGGGAAUUUUGCGCAAUGGGGGAAACCCUGACGCAGCAACGCCGCGUGGAGGAUGAAGUACUUCGGUACGUAAACUCCUUUCGAUCGGGACGAUUAUGACGGUACCGGAAGAAGAAGCCCCGGCUAACUUCGUGCCAGCAGCCGCGGUAAUACGAGGGGGGCAAGCGUUGUUCGGAAUUAUUGGGCGUAAAGGGUGCGUAGGCGGUUUGGUAAGUCUCUUGUGAAAUCUAUGGGCUCAACUCAUAGACUGCAAGGGAAACUGCCGGGCUUGAGUAUGGGAGAGGUGAGUGGAAUUUCCGGUGUAGCGGUGAAAUGCGUAGAUAUCGGAAGGAACACCUGUGGCGAAAGCGGCUCACUGGACCAUAACUGACGCUGAUGCACGAAAGCUAGGGGAGCAAACAGGAUUAGAUACCCUGGUAGUCCUAGCCCUAAACGAUGACUGCUUGGUGUGACGGGUACCCAAUCCCGCCGUGCCGUAGCUAACGCGUUAAGCAGUCCGCCUGGGGAGUACGGUCGCAAGGCUGAA